This 520-nucleotide ribosomal RNA is filed under the name Ocypode ceratophthalmus. RNAcentral describes it as "partial 16S rRNA". It matches the Rfam family "Bacterial large subunit ribosomal RNA", at positions 1831 to 2597 of the family's 2925-position model. Lineage: Eukaryota; Metazoa; Arthropoda; Malacostraca; Decapoda; Ocypodidae. The record is from RNAcentral.
GUCUGUUUGAAGGUAUAAGGAGUCUGAUCUGCCCACUGAAAUAUUUAAGGGCCGCGGUAAUCUGACCGUGCAAAGGUAGCAUAAUCGUUAGUUUUUUAAUUGGAAUCUUGUAUGAAUGAUUGGACAAGGGGGGUACUGUCUCUGUGUUUAUUUUUGAAUUUAACUUUUAAGUGAAAAGGCUUAAAUGAUUUAAAAAGACGAUAAGACCCUAUAAAGCUUAAUAAGUUAAAUUAGUUGACUGAAUUAAAUAAAUAAUAGUUAAUUAAUUAAUCAUAUUUUGUUGGGGCGACAAUGGUAAAAUGUUUAUCAACUACUAAAUUUUUAUGACAAAUAUUAAUGAAUACAGUAGAAUUAAAUGAUCCUAGGAUAAGAUUUAAAGAUGAAGUUACUUUAGGGAUAACAGCGUUAUUUUUUUUGAGAGUUCUUAUCGAAAAAAAAGUUUGCGACCUCGAUGUUGAAUUAAAAUGUCUAUUCAAUUGCAGAAGUUGAAAUAGUAGGUCUGUUCGACCUUUAAAAUUUU